CAAUAGCGUAUAUUUAAGUUGCUGCAGUUAAAAAGCUCGUAGUUGGAUUUCUGUUGGGAACGACCGGUCCGCCCAUUGGGUGUGUAUCUGGCUUGUUCUCGGCAUCUUCUUGGUGAACGUUGCUGCACUUGACUGUGUGGAGCGCUACCCAGGACUUUUACUUUGAGGAAAUUAGAGUGUUUCAAGCAGGCAUAUGCCUUGAAUACAUUAGCAUGGAAUAAUAAGAUAGGACCUCGGUUCUAUUUUGUUGGUUUCUAGAGCUGAGGUAAUGAUUAAUAGGGAUAGUUGGGGGCAUUCGUAUUUAACUGUCGGAGGUGAAAUUCUUGGAUUUGUUAAAGACGGACUACUGCGAAAGCAUUUGCCAAGGAUGUUUUCAUUGA
This 380-nucleotide ribosomal RNA is filed under the name uncultured eukaryote. RNAcentral's name for it is "partial 18S ribosomal RNA". It matches the Rfam family "Eukaryotic small subunit ribosomal RNA", at positions 592 to 976 of the family's 1831-position model. The record is from RNAcentral.